Molecule: ribosomal RNA, 484 nt
Filed under: uncultured bacterium
Lineage: Bacteria
Description: partial 16S ribosomal RNA
Rfam family: Bacterial small subunit ribosomal RNA
Source: RNAcentral
AUUGAACGCUGGCGGCAUGCUUUACACAUGCAAGUCGAACGGCAGCGCGGGCUUCUGCCUGGCGGCGAGUGGCGCACGGGGGAGUAAUACAUCGGAACGUGCCCAGCAGUGGGGUAUAGCCCGGCGAAAGCCGGAUUAAUACCGCAUACUACCUGCGGGUGCAAGCGGGGGACCGAAGGGCCUCUCGCUAUUGGAGCGGUCGAUGUCGGAUUAGCUAGUUGGUGGGGUAAAGGCUUACCAAGGCGACGAUCCGUAGCUGGUCUGAGAGGACGACCAGCCACACUGGGACUGAGACAGGGCCCAGACUCCUACGGGAGGCAGCAGUGGGGAAUUGUGGACAAUGGGGGCAACCCUGAUCCAGCCAUGCCGCGUGCGGGAAGAAGGCCUUCGGGUUGUAAACCGCUUUUGUUCGGGAAGAAAUCCUCUGGGCUAAUACCCCGGGGGGAUGACGGUACCGGAAGAAUAAGCACCGGCUAACUACGUG